This 253-nucleotide ribosomal RNA is filed under the name uncultured bacterium. RNAcentral's name for it is "partial 16S ribosomal RNA". It matches the Rfam family "Bacterial small subunit ribosomal RNA", at positions 524 to 776 of the family's 1533-position model. The record is from RNAcentral.
UACGUAGGUGGCAAGCGUUGUCCGGAUUUACUGGGCGUAAAGAGCGCGCAGGCGGUCGAUUUAGUCGCGUGUGAAAGCCCCCGGCUCAACUGGGGAGGGUCACGCGAUACUGAUCGACUCGAAGGCAGGAGAGGGUAGUGGAAUUCCCGGUGUAGUGGUGAAAUGCGUAGAUAUCGGGAGGAACACCAGUGGCGAAGGCGAGUCUCUGGCCUAAUACUGACGCUGAUGCGCGAAAGCUAGGGGAGCAAACGGG